GACGAACGCUGGCGGCGUGCUUAACACAUGCAAGUCGAACGGAAACUCCCUGCUUUUGUGGGGUGCUCGAGUGGCGAACGGGUGAGUAACAUGUGAGUAACCUUCCCUUGACUUUGGGAUAACUUCAGGAAACUGGUGCUAAUACCGGAUAUGAGCUCCUGCUGCUUGGUUGGGGUUGGAAAGUUUACGCGGUUGGGGAUGGACUCGCGGCUUAUCAGCUUGUUGGUGGGGUAGUGGCUUACCAAGGCUUUGACGGGUAUCCGGCUUGAGAGGGUGACCGGCCAGAUUGGGACUGAGAUACGGCCGGGCCUGAUACGGGAGGGAGCAGGGAGGAAUAGAGCAUAAUGGGCGGAAGACAGAUGCAGCAACGCAGAGUGCGGGAUGACGGACUGCGGGUUGGAAAGCGAUUUUGCGUGUGAAGAAGCGAGAGUGACGGUAAUGGGUAGAGAAGCACCGGCUAACUACGUG
This 468-nucleotide ribosomal RNA is filed under the name uncultured bacterium. RNAcentral describes it as "partial 16S ribosomal RNA". It matches the Rfam family "Bacterial small subunit ribosomal RNA", at positions 28 to 507 of the family's 1533-position model. The record is from RNAcentral.